UUGAAUAUGUAGUCAGGUAGCAAGUAUAUGAAUUCUAAGUUAGUUCUAUUUAGCAGGUAAGUUAGUUUAGUUAGUAGACAAGUAGCAUGUCAGAUUUGCAGAGGAUAAGGUAUAGCAAGUAAGGUAGGGUGGCUAGGUAGAAGACAAAUAAACUAGACUAAUACUGAUUACACACAGCUUGAUAGAGUGCCUGAGUAGGGGCCGGAUAGGGGCCAACUUACUAUGACUGAGACUGGAAGGUUCAACCAUGUAUGCCAUAAAAGACACUACAAGCUCAGCUAUAUAACUCCAUGUCCCACCCCUUAACCGACUUCCCAAGACUCUAGCACAGUAAGAAAAAAAAGAAAGAGAACUGAUUGAGAGUAAGAGAGAAAGAGUUCGACUAAGGAGGAGAAGCUGGGCAAUAUAACUCAUUUGAUACCUUCGAAUCAAUAAGGUAAGCUCAUUCUAGCCUUUUAAUCCUUUUCCAUUCGUUCCUUGUCUCUCUAAAUGGUAGCAACUGAACUGUUUGUGGUAGGAUGGCUAGUAAAUUAAUUCAAACCAUGACUCUUUCAAUGAUAUUGUUGGAUUCUAUGAUUGAGACGGUUAAAUAUGGUUAUAUACUUCUUGUGUUUAAGCCAUACGGCUGGGGGACAAUAAGUUAAGAGAUUAGGUAAUAUAUAUUUGAGACGGU
This 673-nucleotide long non-coding RNA is filed under the name Panax ginseng (ginseng). RNAcentral's name for it is "long non-coding RNA (PGIN_LNC000240)". The record is from RNAcentral. Lineage: Eukaryota; Viridiplantae; Streptophyta; Magnoliopsida; Apiales; Araliaceae.